This is a long non-coding RNA of Vicia villosa (hairy vetch), 1449 nucleotides long. RefSeq lists it as uncharacterized. The record is from RefSeq and is a predicted model, not a curated record. NCBI's taxonomy places the organism in Eukaryota, Viridiplantae, Streptophyta, Magnoliopsida, Fabales, Fabaceae. The transcript is spliced from 4 exons.
UUUCUCUCACUCGUUCUUAUUUCCUUCCCACCACCAAAUAGUUUUCUUGAAGAAACCCUUUUUCUUAUAGUUUCUUAAAAUCAAAGCCAUUCCUUUUUGUCGUCAAAGCUUCAUCUGAUGUUGUGACAGAAACAUCCAAAGAAGAAGGAGAAGUAUGAGAUAGGGAUGGUGGAACUCAUAUUGAUGCUAUUACUCCCGGUGGAUCAACUGACAACGCCGGAGUCUUCAAUGUUGGAGAUAAAGUACUCGCCACCAGUGCUGUUUUUCGGACCGAAACUUGGCCAGCUGCGGAAUAUGGAAGAACAAUCUACACAAUUCGCCAAAGAAUAGGCCCGUUAUUAAUGACAAUGCACAAAAGAUAUGAAAGAUAGAAACUGGUGGUAAGUUCACUGAUAAGGAUAUCUACAGAGCCGAGUAGAACUCUGGUGUAGUCAGUAACAAAAUCAGGGAAAUUCUAGUAAGUUUCAUCCUGAUUAAAAUACAAAAUUGUAAUUCUUGAAUUUUCACACUUUUUUUUAUAAGAUAUUUUAUUUUCUAUUGAAAUAUGUCACUAUUGUACUUCCAUGUGGGGUUACAACCAUUUUCAUUCCUCAAUCUUUCACUGUAUUUCCAUGUGGGGUUACAACCAUUUUCAUUCCUCAAUCUUGUGAAAGAGCGUUGGGAAAAUGAUUUGAGAGAAGGCUUACGACUAUACAAGACUCCCCCGACUCAGAAAAUUGUUUUCUUUCUGUCUUUAUUACAUUUUUUUAACAGUUUCCCUUCAUUUUCUUCCCUUAUCUUAUCCAUGAAAUUUCAGAAUGGAAGUAUUUUGUUCAAUCUUCUAUAGAGAUUAAUUUGGUGUCUAGAACUGUUAUUUCACCUAUGUCAUUAUUGGACAUUUUAUGAAAUUUGGUUUGCAACAUAUAAUCAUGAAAACAUACAAAAAACAUAAUGUUGUGCUGGAUUAAGUAAAUAUUUUCCUUUAUUACUCAAUUGCUUAUUAGAAUAAGAAAUAAAGGAUUGGUGGCUUGGUUCUUGUAAUGGCAAGAUAGACAUGACAUUCUUAUAUGAAAUCGUAAUCUGCAACGCCUAGUUUGAGGCAAAAAAAAAGCUUUAAUUUUGAAGCAUCCAAUUUGCUAGGAGCAUAUCUAGAUUAGAAUAGGAAAAACUUAUGGCAUCUUCAUGACAAUCCUAAUGUCCAUUACUUUCUUGUUUAAAUGUUGAAGGAAUGCUAAGUAAAAAGAAAUAUUAGAGAAAUUUAAGUCAGUUUUGGGAACAAAGCCAGAGCCUGAUGAAGCAGCAGUGGCAAGUUAUAAUGUUGCUUGUUGUUACUCUAAGCUAAACCAGAUUCAAGCUGCAUUUUUCUACAAGCAGCGAACACUUCCUACUCAUGACAGUGGAGGGAUCACCGGCCGCUGCACCUCUGGCCCACAACACCUGGUGAGCUUAGCCCCUGAACCAUCUCUUUUU